GAUGAACGCUGGCGGCGUGCCUAAUACAUGCAAGUCGAGCGAACAGAUGAGGAGCUUGCUCCUCUGACGUUAGCGGCGGACGGGCGAGUAACACGUGGAUAACCUACCUAUAAGACUGGGAUAACUUCGGGAAACCGGAGCUAAUACCGGAUAAUAUAUUGAACCGCAUGGAUCAAUAGUGAAAGACGGUUUUGCUGUCACUUAUAGAUGGAUCCGCGCCGCAUUAGCUAGUUGGUAAGGUAACGGCUUACCAAGGCAACGAUGCGUAGCCGACCUGAGAGGGUGAUCGGCCACACUGGAACUGAGACACGGUCCAGACUCCUACGGGAGGCAGCAGUGGGGAAUCUUCGGCAAUGGGCGAAAGCCUGACGGAGCAACGCCGCGUGAGUGAUGAAGGUCUUCGGAUCGUAAAGCUCUGUUAUUAGGGAAGAACAGAUGUGUGAGUAACUAUGCACGUCUUGACGGUACCUAAUCAGAAAGCCACGGCUAACUACGUG
Molecule: ribosomal RNA, 497 nt
Filed under: uncultured bacterium
Lineage: Bacteria
Description: partial 16S ribosomal RNA
Rfam family: Bacterial small subunit ribosomal RNA
Source: RNAcentral